CGCCGCCCCUUGGGAUUUGUUGCACCAGUAGCAGGUAGCUUAACCUUCGGGAGGGCGCUUGCCACGGUGUGGCCGAUGACUGGGGUGAAGUCGUAACAAGGUAGCCGUAUCGGAAGGUGCGGCUGGAUCACCUCCUUUUGAGCAUGACGUCAUCGUCCUUGCGGGCGUCCUCACAAAUUACCUGCAUUCAGAGAUGCGUAUCGGCACAGGCCGGUAUGCGAAAGUCCCAUCAUGGGGCCUUAGCUCAGCUGGGAGAGCACCUGCUUUGCAAGCAGGGGGUCGUCGGUUCGAUCCCGACAGGCUCCACCAUUUGAGUGAAACGACUUUGGGUCUGUAGCUCAGGUGGUUAGAGCGCACCCCUGAUAAGGGUGAGGUCGGUGGUUCGAGUCCUCCCAGACCCACCACUCUGAAUGUAGUGCACACUUAAGAAUUUAUAUGGCUCAGCGUUGAGGCUGAGACAUGUUCUUUUAUAACUUGUGACGUAGCGAGCGUUUGAGAUAUCUAUCUAAACGUGUCGUUGAGGCUAAGGCGGGGACUUCGAGUCCCUAAAUAAUUGAGUCGUAUGUUCGCGUUGGUGGCUUUGUACCCCACACAACACGGCAUGUGACCCUGAGGCAACUUGGGGUUAUAUGGUCAAGCGAAUAAGCGCACACGGUGGAUGCCUAGGCGGUCAGAGGCGAUGAAGGACGUGGUAGCCUGCGAAAAGUGUCGGGGAGCUGGCAACAAGCUUUGAUCCGGCAAUAUCCGAAUGGGGAAACCCACUGCUUCGGCAGUAUCCUGCAGUGAAUUCAUAGCUGCUGGAAGCGAACCCGGUGAACUGAAAUAUCUAAGUAACCGGAGGAAAAGAAAUCAACCGAGAUUCCCUAAGUAGUGACGAGCGAACGGGGAGCAGCCCUUAAGCUGGGAAUGGCUUUAGAAAAACAAUCUGGAAAGAUUGGCCAUAGAAGUGAUAGCCCUGUAUUUAAAAGGGCCACUCCAGUGAAGACGAGUAGGGCGGGCACGUGAAACCCUGUCUGAAUAUGGGGGGACCAUCCUCCAAGGCUAAAUACUCCUGACCGACCGAUAGUGAACCAGUACCGUGAGGGAAGUAAAAAAAAAACACCCCC
Molecule: unclassified non-coding RNA, 1106 nt
Filed under: Xanthomonas sp. V36
Lineage: Bacteria; Pseudomonadati; Pseudomonadota; Gammaproteobacteria; Lysobacterales; Lysobacteraceae
Description: partial contains 16S ribosomal RNA, 16S-23S ribosomal RNA intergenic spacer, and 23S ribosomal RNA
Rfam family: Bacterial large subunit ribosomal RNA (bases 632-1106)
Source: RNAcentral